This 465-nucleotide ribosomal RNA is filed under the name Vreelandella stevensii. Its description in RNAcentral is "partial 16S ribosomal RNA". It matches the Rfam family "Bacterial small subunit ribosomal RNA", at positions 338 to 795 of the family's 1533-position model. Lineage: Bacteria; Pseudomonadati; Pseudomonadota; Gammaproteobacteria; Oceanospirillales; Halomonadaceae. The record is from RNAcentral.
CCUACGGGGUGCAGCAGUGGGGAAUAUUGGACAAUGGGCGAAAGCCUGAUCCAGCCAUGCCGCGUGUGUGAAGAAGGCCUUCGGGUUGUAAAGCACUUUCAGUGGGGAAGAAAGCCUUGGGGCUAAUACCCUCGAGGAAGGACAUCACCCACAGAAGAAGCACCGGCUAACUCCGUGCCAGCAGCCGCGGUAAUACGGAGGGUGCGAGCGUUAAUCGGAAUUACUGGGCGUAAAGCGCGCGUAGGCGGUCUGAUAAGCCGGUUGUGAAAGCCCCGGGCUCAACCUGGGAACGGCAUCCGGAACUGUCAGGCUAGAGUGCAGGAGAGGAAGGUAGAAGUCCCGGUGUAGCGGUGAAAUGCGUAGAGAUCGGGAGGAAUACCAGUGGCGAAGGCGGCCUUCUGGACUGACACUGACGCUGAGGUGCGAAAGCGUGGGUAGCAAACAGGAUUAGAUACCCCAGUAGUC